AAGUCGUAACAAGGUUUCCGUAGGUGAACCUGCGGAAGGAUCAUUAAUGAAACUUCCAAGUCGGCUCGUCUAUCUGUGCUGGUGGAGACACAUGUGCACGUUGGCGAGUCGCAAAUCCACACACCUGUGAAUCUAUGACUCUGAGUACCGCUUUGCAUGGCCUUCAGGGGCCUGGUACUCGAGUACUUUACACACUCUGAAUGUAAUGGAAUGUCUUUUUGUACAAUGUACAACUAAAAACAACUUUCAACAACGGAUCUCUUGGCUCUC
This 270-nucleotide unclassified non-coding RNA is filed under the name Serendipita sp. Its description in RNAcentral is "partial internal transcribed spacer region". The stretch from base 1 to 46 matches the Rfam family "Eukaryotic small subunit ribosomal RNA", at positions 1786 to 1831 of the family's 1831-position model. Lineage: Eukaryota; Fungi; Basidiomycota; Agaricomycetes; Sebacinales; Serendipitaceae. The record is from RNAcentral.